UAACAAGGAUUCCCCUAGUAACUGCGAGUGAAGCGGGAAAAGCUCAAAUUUAAAAUCUGGCGGUCUUCGGCCGUCCGAGUUGUAGUCUGGAGAAGUGCUUUCCGCGCUGGACCGUGUACAAGUCUCUUGGAACAGAGCGUCAUAGAGGGUGAGAAUCCCGUCUUUGACACGGACUACCAGUGCUUUGUGAUGCGCUCUCAAAGAGUCGAGUUGUUUGGGAAUGCAGCUCAAAAUGGGUGGUAAAUUCCAUCUAAAGCUAAAUAUUGGCGAGAGACCGAUAGCGAACAAGUACCGUGAGGGAAAGAUGAAAAGCACUUUGGAAAGAGAGUUAAACAGUACGUGAAAUUGCUGAAAGGGAAACGAUUGAAGUCAGUCGCGUUAGCCAGGACUCAGCCUUGUUUUUACUUGGUGCAUUUUCUGGUUGACGGGCCAGCAUCGAUUUUGACCGCCGGAAAAAGAUUGGGGGAAUGUGGCACCUUCGGGUGUGUUAUAGCCCUCAGUCACAUACGGCGAUUGGGAUCGAGGACCGCAGCACGCCUUUAUGGCCGGGGUUCGCCCACGUUCGUGCUUAGGAUGCUGGCGU
Molecule: ribosomal RNA, 583 nt
Filed under: Fomitopsis serialis
Lineage: Eukaryota; Fungi; Basidiomycota; Agaricomycetes; Polyporales; Fomitopsidaceae
Description: LSU rRNA
Rfam family: Eukaryotic large subunit ribosomal RNA
Source: RNAcentral